GAUGUUUUGACAGAUGGAGUUGGAAUCAAAAAGUCCGAAUGACUCCGAAUCGAAUGGAAGCAUUCAGAUUCGAACAUGUUUAAGUGGUGGGGAUAUGAGCUACUUUUGGGGGAUACACACAAUAAAACAAUAUUUGUAGGCAAUGCUAUCCGCAACGGGGGGUUACGUUAAGGGACGGCUCCUACUAAAUCGAGGUGCCUCUAUACCAACGGAGUUCAUGUACGUUACCUGAACAAAGGAAUAGUGGUGGUUUUGGUACGUUUAGGUAGCGGUAGGAAUGCGAACCAGAAGUACUAGGCAUAGUUGCAAACAGAUAGUCGGAGUGUCAAAAUCAAGUCGUUGAGAGUAAAUUUGUUCUGUACAGGCUGAAAAUUCGAAGAAACUUUCGUAAAAAGUUAAGAAACAAAAUUCAAAAUUGUGUGGGUUCGGGUCAAAGAGGCAGGACGACGACGACGACAGCGUCGCCCGGAUGAAGAAGCAACAUAAAGGGCACAAAACAAACGUUGAGUCAGGUGCACGAGAAGCUGUAACAAAAAAUUAAGUGAUGAGUACCUAGAAAUAAGUUUAAAAAUAAAAAGUGCAAACUCCUAAUCUUUAAAAAAAAAUAUAAAACUAGAAGUAAUUGUGAAUAAUCACUCUAUAACAAAACCUAAUUUGAACUCCGAAAAAGCCGAGACCGAACCCCACAUUUUAAAAAUUCAAACAUUAGUGCGAAAAUUCGAAAGUCGAAAGUUCACUUCGAAUCAAAAUAUAAAAACUUAAAUCGAAAGCUUUUGGCAUCGAGGGCACGAACCCAAAAUUAUCAAAAUCGCCAACCGGAUGCCCAGAAGAGCGGCCAUCAUUGAAAAACGCAACUAGACGUUUAAUUUGAAAUAUUUAUUUUGAGCGUUGGCAUAAUUUUUAUUUUAAAUUGUUUUUAUUUAAUGUUUUAUUGUUUAAAUUUUUAACUUAAGUGAUAAGAAACCAAAAGGGUGUUGCGGGUAGGGCGUGACGUCGUCGUACGGGAGCGACAAGGGCGAACCAGUUUCAUCCGACGAUAGUAGUUUGUUUUUAUCACCCCAAUUGAGGUGCAAACCCCCCUAAAAAGCGCUUUAUAGGUAGGGUAAUUAAUAUUUGGUGCAAAAUUGCAAAGUUGAAAGUUCGGGCGAGGCUGGGCUCGAAAUAUAGACCCUACAAUUAUUGUGUCGCUGAAGUGCGAAGGGGAGAGUGACACUUCUCUGGCCGAAUCUAAAGUCCAGAGACGUGUACAGCCCCAGUGUGGAUGCAAAGGUCCACCGACGAAGGAGUCGACUUGCAUCACAUCUUGGUAGUUCUUAAAAUCUUUUAAAUCUUUAUAUUUAAAUCAUAUUUUCAUUUUAAAUUGUUUAUUUUUGGUCAAAUACAUAAUUAUUGUAGUGAUUUUACCUUUUUACCUGUUUUUUUUGUUGCAUUUAGUGUAUACUCAAAUGGAGUUACACGGGUGCAAGUCAUACAGUACAAAUUAUAAUACUUAUUGU
Long non-coding RNA from Episyrphus balteatus (marmalade hoverfly), 1496 nucleotides. RefSeq lists it as uncharacterized. Lineage: Eukaryota; Metazoa; Arthropoda; Insecta; Diptera; Syrphidae. The transcript is spliced from 3 exons. The record is from RefSeq and is a predicted model, not a curated record.